CAGGGAAUCUUCGGCAAUGGACGGAAGUCUGACCGAGCAACGCCGCGUGAGUGAAGAAGGUUUUCGGAUCGUAAAGCUCUGUUGUUAGAGAAGAACGUUGGUAGGAGUGGAAAAUCUACCAAGUGACGGUAACUAACCAGAAAGGGACGGCUAACUACGUGCCAGCAGCCGCGGUAAUACGUAGGUCCCGAGCGUUGUCCGGAUUUAUUGGGCGUAAAGCGAGCGCAGGCGGUUCUUUAAGACUGAAGUUAAAGGCAGUGGCUUAACCAGUGUACGCUGUGGAAACUGGAGGACUUGAGUGCAGAAGGGGAGAGUGGAAUUCCAUGUGUAGCGGUGAAAUGCGUAGAUAUAUGGAGGAACACCGGUGGCGAAAGCGGCUCUCUGGUCUGUAACUGACGCUGAGGCUCGAAAGCGUGGGGAGCAAACAGG
This 429-nucleotide ribosomal RNA is filed under the name Bacillota bacterium. RNAcentral's name for it is "Firmicutes bacterium partial 16S ribosomal RNA". It matches the Rfam family "Bacterial small subunit ribosomal RNA", at positions 355 to 776 of the family's 1533-position model. Lineage: Bacteria; Bacillati; Bacillota. The record is from RNAcentral.